Long non-coding RNA from Fukomys damarensis (Damara mole-rat), 1591 nucleotides. RefSeq lists it as uncharacterized. Lineage: Eukaryota; Metazoa; Chordata; Mammalia; Rodentia; Bathyergidae. The transcript has 3 exons. The record is from RefSeq and is a predicted model, not a curated record.
GGAAACAAACACCCGCCACCCGCCACUCUGCCCUGAUCGUACAAGCUUCAGAGCUGGCAGGGAGCAUGGAGACCUGGAGACACCUCAGACAGCGAGGAAUGAGACCUGGGAGUGGGGGCCUGGACCCCUGACUGUGAUCCACUCCUGAGCGCUGCAACAAGUCCCGUCCCUUGGAACAGGCCUUGUGACCCACACACAAAGGCCUCCCGGAAUGGAUGUGUGCCCUCAGUCCCACGGAUGCCACAGUGACAGCAACAGGAGAUGUGUUAAUCGACAAAGACCCAACUACGGGCCAAGCGUGAUGGUGUGUGCUGGGGUUACGGCAGCAAACAACAAGGUGUGGCCAUAAGAGUGCAUCAGACAAGUGAACCAUCUCUUGGACGGUUUACCCUCUCCUCUUGCUUCAAGAAGCAGGGCAAGAGAGGGCAAAUGGCAUGUGUGCUAAUGGAUUGGGAAGGCCGUCCACCAUUCAUCCUCCUGCCUCAACCUCCCAGAGUGCUGGGAUCUGGGGCUGAGCCACCACACUGGACUCUCAUGAGAGCCUCUUAUGCAGCCCUGGCCUCCCACACCUCCCAGCACAGCUGUCAGCCUCAUGCUCCACACUGGCCUCACCUCCCACCAUAUUGCCGAAAACCCUGCCUUACUCUCAGUGAUCCAGAUAAACCGAGGCAGUGGCAGUGCCCAGCACCUGAGUAUCUGCAGGUCUACAAAUACAUCAAGGAUCCCACAGAACAGCAGCAGUAGAGGCUACACCAAUUUAACUUUUAAAAACUAAAAUGGAAGUUCGGAGUGGUGACACACAUCUGUGACCCUAGCACUCUAGGAGGCUGAGACAGGAGGAUCAAUCACAAUUUCAAUCCUAACCAAGGCAGUUUAGUAACAUAGUAACACCUUGUCUAAAAAAAAAGAGGGGGGGAUGUAGCUCAGUGAAAAGGCCCUGAGUUCAAUGCCCAUCACCACAAAGAACAACAGUAAGAAACCUAGAGUGAAAUAAAAAUCUCAGCUCAGUCAUAUCGACCAUAUUUCAAAAGUUAGGCAGCCUCACAGGGCUGUGGUUGCCAAACUGAGGGCAGCUGCAGGGCUCCCCACAGCAUUGCAAGGGCAGGCAGGGCCCUGGAAACCUGUCCAUAUCAUGAGCAUGGACACAGCUGCCUCUACAGAGGGUGAGAGCAGGCAGCAAGCUGCCUAGGUGUGUGCUCCAGGCUGACAUGAGCCAGCUGGAGAGAGCUGGAUACUCCUGGGGGAAGAUGUUUUCCUCAGCUGCAAUGAGUCACUGUCCCGUUCCCAGGGCAGGAACGGACCUGUGAGGAGGCCAGACAGGGACCCUUUCCUGUGCAGCUCCCUCCUCUGGCCUCCAGGCCCCACCUAGCAUGCCAUCAACCACAGGCCAGCUCCAAAGAGCUCCUCAGUUUACAAAUCACUGCUCAGGUCUGUUUGGAGUCACAGGACAGAAGUCUUUCUGGUCCCAGUGGCCUGUGCACACUUCUGAGGCCAACUCACUGGCUCCCUCGGUCACAAGCACGAAGAACUGACAGAGCCCACCAAGGAGAAUGUUGUGCACAACUCCUCCAGGAAGCUGUGAUGUUACUCU